CUGACUUGAGGUGCAGGAGGACUACAAAGAUAAAUUACGUCCUCCCUAAAUGAAGGCAUGGGCGACUUUCUAAAGUCAUACCAGACAAAUCUCAGGCAUGCAAAGCAGAGGAAAAACCUCUGGUGAAAGGGCCUGUCACAGGGAGAAACAUCCCUAUUUCUAUGAGUGGUGAUGAAAAGUAAUUAAGCCUACAGGGUGACACCAUUUUUGUAUGAUUUUCUUGCAAGCCUAGGAAAAUGGUGAAAUAUAUUCUCCUCUCCAGGCUCAGAACAGGGCCUAGAAAUCAGAGGUCAAGCUGUCCCCAGGUGAACCUGGCAGGGACAUGCUUCUUUGGGACCAGAGCAAGCCACAAAUGCUACUUUCAUCCUCAAAAAGAAAAGAGGGAGAGAACUUUACAUUGGCUGAGAAAGUGUGAGAAAUUCAUCCCACUGUACCUUUCCUUGUGGAUAACCAGCUGACCUCUGCCUUCAGCACCCACCGCUGCCUCAGCUGGGCACCCUUCUGACACAUUAAUUCUACAGCAAGGCUUGGACACCCACUGUUUCAUCCUUCCUAAAGAUUAUUUUGGC
Molecule: long non-coding RNA, 569 nt
Filed under: Cyanistes caeruleus (blue tit)
Lineage: Eukaryota; Metazoa; Chordata; Aves; Passeriformes; Paridae
Description: lncRNA (ENSCCEG00000013339.1)
Source: RNAcentral